GGCAGAAUUAGAAGGAUAGCCAGGGAAGAAACGGCAAUAUCGUGGAUGUAAGCUGGUUGGAAUGCACCAGAUAUUCAAGGAGGAACACCGGUGGCGAAGGCGGUUUCUCUGGGCAUUUCCUGACGCUGAGGAGCGAAAAGUGUGGGGAGCGAAACAGGAUUAGAUACCCUGGUAGUCCACACCGUAAACGUUGGGCGCUUAGGUGUGGGAUCCAUUCCACGGGUUCCGUGCCGCAGCUAACGCAUUAAGCGCCCCGCCUGGGGAGUACGGCCGCAAGGCUAAAACUCAAAGGAAUUGACGGGGGCCCGCACAAGCGGAGGAGCAUGCGGAUUAAUUCGAUGCAACGCGAAGAACCUUACCUGGGUUUGACAUGCACCGGGAUGUGCCAGAGAUGGUGCAGCUUUUGCUGGUGUGCAGGUGGUGCAUGGCUGUCGUCAGCUCGUGUCGUGAGAUGUUGGGUUAAGUCCCGCAACGAGCGCAACCCUCGUCGCAUGUUGCCAGCAGCGCCUUCGGGUGGCUGGGGACUCAUGCGAGACUGCCGGGGUCAACUCGGAGGAAGGUGGGGAUGACGUCAAGUCAUCAUGCCCCUUAUGUCCAGGGCUUCACGCAUGCUACAAUGGCCGGUACAGAGGGCUGCGAUACCGCGAGGUGGAGCGAAUCCCAAAAAGCCGGUCUCAGUUCGGAUUGGGGUCUGCAACUCGACCCCAUGAAGUCGGAGUCGCUAGUAAUCGCAGAUCAGCAACGUUGCGGUGAAUACGUUCCCGGGCCUUGUACACACCGCCCGUCACGUCAUGAAAGUCGGCAACACCCGAAGCCGGUGGCCUAACCCCUUGUGGGAGGGAGCCGUCUAAGGUGGGGCUGGCGAUUAGGACGAAUUCCUAACAGGGUAGCCGUACCGGAAGGUGAGGCUGGAUCACCU
RNAcentral lists this ribosomal RNA (919 nucleotides) under Nocardioides sp. RKEM 1595. RNAcentral's name for it is "bacterial SSU rRNA". It matches the Rfam family "Bacterial small subunit ribosomal RNA", at positions 634 to 1528 of the family's 1533-position model. Lineage: Bacteria; Bacillati; Actinomycetota; Actinomycetes; Propionibacteriales; Nocardioidaceae. The record is from RNAcentral.